Molecule: ribosomal RNA, 416 nt
Filed under: Typhlodromus setubali
Lineage: Eukaryota; Metazoa; Arthropoda; Arachnida; Mesostigmata; Phytoseiidae
Description: partial small subunit ribosomal RNA
Source: RNAcentral
ACUAGGAUUAGAUACCCUACUAUAAAAUAAAUCAAUUAAUAUAGUACUACCUGAAAUCACAAAAUUAAAGAAAAUUGGCGGCUUUUUUAAAAUCUUAGAGGAAUUUAUUCUAUAAAGGAUUUAACACCAAAAUCUUACUUAACUUUGUAUUAAACAGUUUGUAUACCUCUAUAAAUUUAAUAAAUUAUUUUAUUUAACCCUCUUUUUUAAGAAAAAAAUUAAGUCAAGGUGCAACUAAUAUUUAAGAAUGAAAUAAAUUAUAUUAAUUUAUAAUUUUUCUAUUAUAAAAGAUUAAUAAAAUUUUAAAAGAAAAAUUUAAAAGUAAAUUUAUAUAUAUGUAGUAUAUUUGAAUCUUUCUAAUAAGUGUACAUAUUGCCCGUCACUCUUUAUUUAUAAAGAUAAGUCGUAACAUAGUA